GAUGGACUGCUACACUUCCUCCGAUCCAGCUGCAGAGAACGCCUCCCUGCUGUUUGACCUGAACAAUGAUGAAGAUAACCUCUGGAUCAGAACCAGCCAGGGCCUCUCUCCCUGUCCCUCCCCCCCUCCUGACUCCCAGUGCAUUGUGUGUCUGGAGGACAGGGUGUACGCCGUGUGCCGCACGCUGUCAGAUGGCGUGAAACUGGCGAUGCAGACCGAAACUCAGCAGGUCGAGAUCUUCAAGAGCGGUUGUCCAGAACUUCCCUCUGAUGUUGGUCCAGAACUUCCCUCUGAGGACGCUCUACAGUGGCUGCUGCCUGUUGCCCUCAUCCUCCUCUUCAUCUUCAUCAUCCUCUCCCUGGUGGUGUAUUUCUGCUGCUGUCAGGGACGCCAGCGGUUCAGCAGAGUGGACAACGGGACUCUGGACAAAGACGGAUCGCCUGAGACAUCAUGAAAGACGACGUUCUUUCUCUUUUAGUGUUAAUCUAUCUUUUAAACCUCAACGUGCCUUUAAAUUCUCUCCUCUCUUAAAAUCUGACGAGUCCUUAAGAAUGAAUGAAUGUGGUCCAGGUUGCACAGAGUCGGGAGGUUAGUCCGGUUAAUGGAGUUGGAUCGUUAUCAGGUCAAUGCAAUGUAAAGAACUUUGUGCAAUACUGUUUAUUAUGCUGCUUCUUUCUCUAGUUAACUUUAUAUUCAGUUAUUUUCUACUGCCACUGCUAUAUAUUAAUAUUCUAUAUAAAUGCUGUUUUUACUGCCUUUGGGUCCUGAUAGUAAUCAUGUACCGUCUGCUCACUACCAUUUACAUUCUGUCUGUAAGUUCACCACAGUGCUUUAAUAAACUCACACUGACCCUGAACUGGACCUCAAUGAUGGAUUCAAUGUCUGUUAUGUCACAUAUUUAUUGAUAUUUCAUCUUAUAUUGAAAGUAACUGCAGGAAGUUAUUUGGAUGAAUUGUGAGCAGAUUGUUUCCCUUUUUAUACAUUUCUGUCUCUAUUCUGUAUUUUUGAUUAAUACCUCGUAUUUCUGCUCCCUGACACUUUUAUUCUAUUAGACAAUUUACUUUUAGUGAAUCUCAGAUAAAAUCUCAAUGAAAUGAAGCCCAGGAGACCAUCGCCAUGGCAACCCUUAAUUGGGAGCUGGACGACCUAAUUAACAGCAGCAUUAAACACAUUAAUGCAUCAAUAAUUAUAAAGGUGUUACCAACGAUGAUUAAGGCUCAGUUCCAUUUAGUGUAUCAGAGUGUUUCCAGUAUCCAUGGUAACGUCUGUGUUUACCUGCUGUUACACCUGAACUCACCUGUGGAGGACUUUUAUUCACACGGUUAAUGAUCAUUGAGUUUGAUUUCCACUGUUGGAUCCCCAGUGAUACAGAAGGAGUGAAUGUGAUGAACAAUUCACAAUAAGUUGUAAUAAUGAAACAAUAACAGGUUAAAAGCAAGAAGCAUUUUAAUUUCAUAUAUUUGAUGAUCUGAAUUAAAGUUGGACAGCGACAGGGUUCAGCUGGUUGGAGUCGGCUGCGGUCUGCACUCUGUGAACACCAGACAAUGAUUCUGAUAUCACAUGUGAACAUUAUAUUCAGACUAUAGAUCCUCCUCAGUGUCUCACACACACACACACACACACACAUUUACCCUCUGCUUCUUCAUUGUCUUCUACAUUUCCAGAGUUUGUAGGAAGCCACCAAGACGAUGAAGAGGAUGAGGAAGACGAGGAGGAGCGGCCACCAAUCAGCUGUCAGACAGAGCAGUGUCUUAAAACCAAUUAAAACCAAACUGAUGAUAAAAAAAGAUCUUUUGAAAUAGUUUGUGAAACUUGCGUGCUCCUGCUCACCCUGCUGGUCUCCAGAUGAGUCAGCAUUUUUAUUUAUGACUGAAAGAAAGAAAAAGGAAGGAGGAGCCACAUUACAGUGAGCAGGUAGAACUGCUGAUCAAUAACCUUUAACUGAUCAAUACAUCAAACUCACCUUCAGAAAGGAGUCUGGGACACUCUGCAGGGAGAGGGAGGGAGGAGGGAGGGAGGGAGGAAGGGAGGAAGCAGUGUGAACA
This is a long non-coding RNA of Dicentrarchus labrax (European seabass), 2045 nucleotides long. Lineage: Eukaryota; Metazoa; Chordata; Actinopteri; Moronidae. The record is from Ensembl.